GAUGCUUGCCACGGGAGCCCAGUCGGGCUGAGAGGGCGGAAGAGCCGCCGACCGUUGGAACCUGAUCCGGCUCGUACCGGCGGAGGGAGGCAGUAUGAACACCAU
This 105-nucleotide non-coding RNA is filed under the name Acidimicrobium ferrooxidans. RNAcentral describes it as "TPP sequence". It matches the Rfam family "TPP riboswitch aptamer (THI element)". From Rfam's summary of the family: Vitamin B(1) in its active form thiamin pyrophosphate (TPP) is an essential coenzyme that is synthesised by coupling of pyrimidine and thiazole moieties in bacteria. The previously detected thiamin-regulatory element, thi box was extended, resulting in a new, highly conserved RNA secondary structure, the THI element, which is widely distributed in eubacteria and also occurs in some archaea. Lineage: Bacteria; Bacillati; Actinomycetota; Acidimicrobiia; Acidimicrobiales; Acidimicrobiaceae. The record is from RNAcentral. RNAcentral also lists the same sequence under 1 other name.